GAUGAACGCUAGCGGCAGGCUUAAUACAUGCAAGUUGAGGGGCAGCAUGAUAUACGCGAGUAUAUUGAUGGCGACCGGCGGACGGGUGAGUAAUAGGUAGGAGACCUACCUCAUACAGGGGGAUAGCAUAGAGAAAUCUGUGGUAAUACCCCAUGAGGUUAUAUGAAUAGAGGCAUAUAAUCAAAGCAUAAGCGAUUAUGCGGUAUGAGAGGGGCCUACUGACCAUUAGCUAGUUGGUGAGGUAAGGGCUCACCAAGGCGAAGAUGGUUAGGGGUUUUGAGAGAGAGACCCCCCACAUUGGAACUGAGAGACGGUCCAGACUCCUACGGGAGGCAGCAGUCGAGAAUAGUCUACAAUGGCCGGAAGGCUGAUAGUGCGACGCCGCGUGAACGAGGGACCCUUCGGGGUUAAAGUUCUUUUCUAUACGAGCAGUGCUAUAUAUAUGGAUAGUAUAUAUAGAGGGAUAGUAGUAUAGGAA
RNAcentral lists this ribosomal RNA (478 nucleotides) under uncultured bacterium. Its description in RNAcentral is "bacterial SSU rRNA". It matches the Rfam family "Bacterial small subunit ribosomal RNA", at positions 28 to 486 of the family's 1533-position model. The record is from RNAcentral.